CCCUUAGAUGUUCUGGGCUGCACGCGCGCUACACUGACGCACGCAACAGGUGCCUGCUCCGAGAGGACUGGGUAAUCAUUUGAGUGUGCGUCGUGAUGGGGAUAGAAUAUUGUAAUUAUUACUCUUCAACGAGGAAUUCCUAGUAAGCGCCAGUCAGCAGCUUGCGCUGAUUACGUCCCUGCCCUUUGUACACACCGCCCGUCGCUCCUACCGAUUGGGUGUGCUGGUGAAAUGUUCGGAUCGGCCGUUUGUCGCGGUUUCCGCGGCUCGUGGCUGAGAAGUUCAUUAAACCCUCCCACCUAGAGGAAGGAGAAGUCGUAACA
Molecule: ribosomal RNA, 323 nt
Filed under: uncultured eukaryote
Lineage: Eukaryota
Description: partial 18S ribosomal RNA
Rfam family: Eukaryotic small subunit ribosomal RNA
Source: RNAcentral